This 72-nucleotide transfer RNA is filed under the name Ovis aries (sheep). It matches the Rfam family "tRNA". From Rfam's summary of the family: Transfer RNA (tRNA) molecules are approximately 80 nucleotides in length. Their secondary structure includes four short double-helical elements and three loops (D, anti-codon, and T loops). Further hydrogen bonds mediate the characteristic L-shaped molecular structure. tRNAs have two regions of fundamental functional importance: the anti-codon, which is responsible for specific mRNA codon recognition, and the 3' end, to which the tRNAs corresponding amino acid is attached (by aminoacyl-tRNA synthetases). tRNAs cope with the degeneracy of the genetic code in two manners: having more than one tRNA (with a specific anti-codon) for a particular amino acid; and 'wobble' base-pairing, i.e. permitting non-standard base-pairing at the 3rd anti-codon position. Lineage: Eukaryota; Metazoa; Chordata; Mammalia; Artiodactyla; Bovidae. The record is from Rfam by way of RNAcentral.
UCCCUGGUAGCUCAGAGGUUAAAGCGUCUGCCUGCAAUGCGGGAGACCCGGGUUCGAUCCCUGAGUUGGGAA